RNAcentral lists this microRNA precursor (165 nucleotides) under Acacia auriculiformis. RNAcentral describes it as "miR172 stem-loop (aau-MIR172)". Its record names the gene aau-MIR172. The record is from miRBase by way of RNAcentral. Lineage: Eukaryota; Viridiplantae; Streptophyta; Magnoliopsida; Fabales; Fabaceae.
GCAGAUGUAGCAUCAUCAAGAUUCACAUGCAAAUGCAACAAGUGGAAGUGAGAUUAUUUUUGAAUGAUAGAUGCAACCUUCUAAUCAAAAUCUCUCUCUCUCUCUCUCUCUCUGUGGCCACUUGGUUUCUUUCGGAACUGAGAAUCUUGAUGAUGCUGCAUCAGC